AUCUAGGCUCUUGCAUCGAUGAAGAACGUAGCGAAAUGCGAUACUUGGUGUGAAUUGCAGAAUCCCGUGAACCAUCGAGUCUUUGAACGCAAGUUGCGCCCGAUGCCAUUAGGUUGAGGGCACGUCUGCCUGGGUGUCACAUAUCGAAGCCUCAUGCCAAUUUC
RNAcentral lists this ribosomal RNA (164 nucleotides) under Vicia hirsuta. RNAcentral's name for it is "5.8S ribosomal RNA". The stretch from base 1 to 139 matches the Rfam family "5.8S ribosomal RNA", at positions 18 to 154 of the family's 154-position model. From Rfam's summary of the family: 5.8S ribosomal RNA (5.8S rRNA) is a component of the large subunit of the eukaryotic ribosome. RNAcentral also lists the same sequence under 1 other name. Lineage: Eukaryota; Viridiplantae; Streptophyta; Magnoliopsida; Fabales; Fabaceae. The record is from RNAcentral.